UACGGAGGGUGCAAGCGUUAUCCGGAUUCACUGGGUUUAAAGGGUGCGUAGGCGGGCAGGUAAGUCCGUGGUGAAAUCUCUGAGCUUAACUCAGAAACUGCCAUGGAUACUAUUUGUCUUGAAUAUUGUGGAGGUAAGCGGAAUAUGUCAUGUAGCGGUGAAAUGCUUAGAUAUGGCAUAGAACACCAAUUGCGAAGGCAGCUUACUACACAGUUAUUGACACUGAGGCUCGAAAGCGUGGGGAUCAAACAGG
Molecule: ribosomal RNA, 253 nt
Filed under: uncultured bacterium
Lineage: Bacteria
Description: partial 16S ribosomal RNA
Rfam family: Bacterial small subunit ribosomal RNA
Source: RNAcentral